CAGCCGCCACGGUAAUACGUAGGGUGCAAGCGUUGUCCGGAAUUAUUGGGCGUAAAGAGCUCGUAGGCGGUUUGUCGCGUCUGCUGUGAAAUCCCGAGGCUCAACCUCGGGCUUGCAGUGGGUACGGGCAGACUAGAGUGCGGUAGGGGAGAUUGGAAUUCCUGGUGUAGCGGUGGAAUGCGCAGAUAUCAGGAGGAACACCGAUGGCGAAGGCAGAUCUCUGGGCCGUAACUGACGCUGAGGAGCGAAAGCGUGGGGAGCGAACAGGAUUAGAUACCCCUGUAGUCCCUGUCUCUUAUAC
Molecule: ribosomal RNA, 301 nt
Filed under: uncultured bacterium
Lineage: Bacteria
Description: partial 16S ribosomal RNA
Rfam family: Bacterial small subunit ribosomal RNA
Source: RNAcentral